AUUGAACGCUGGCGGCAUGCCUUACACAUGCAAGUCGAACGGCAGCACGGGUGCUUGCACCUGGUGGCGAGUGGCGAACGGGUGAGUAAUACAUCGGAACAUGUCCUGUAGUGGGGGAUAGCCCGGCGAAAGCCGGAUUAAUACCGCAUACGAUCUACGGAUGAAAGCGGGGGACCUUCGGGCCUCGCGCUAUAGGGUUGGCCGAUGGCUGAUUAGCUAGUUGGUGGGGUAAAGGCCUACCAAGGCGACGAUCAGUAGCUGGCCUGAGAGGACGACCAGCCACACUGGGACUGAGACACGGCCCAGACUCCUACGGGAGGCAGCAGUGGGGAAUUUUGGACAAUGGGCGAAAGCCUGAUCCAGCAAUGCCGCGUGUGUGAAGAAGGCCUUCGGGUUGUAAAGCACUUUUGUCCGGAAAGAAAUCCUUGGCUCUAAUACAGUCGGGGGAUGACGGUACCGGAAGAAUAAGCACCGGCUAACUACGUG
RNAcentral lists this ribosomal RNA (486 nucleotides) under uncultured bacterium. RNAcentral's name for it is "partial 16S ribosomal RNA". It matches the Rfam family "Bacterial small subunit ribosomal RNA", at positions 30 to 507 of the family's 1533-position model. The record is from RNAcentral.